RNAcentral lists this ribosomal RNA (1120 nucleotides) under Bacillus pumilus. RNAcentral's name for it is "partial 23S ribosomal RNA". It matches the Rfam family "Bacterial large subunit ribosomal RNA", at positions 1 to 1113 of the family's 2925-position model. The record is from RNAcentral. Lineage: Bacteria; Bacillati; Bacillota; Bacilli; Caryophanales; Bacillaceae.
AUGGUUAAGUUAGAAAGGGCGCACGGUGGAUGCCUUGGCACUAGGAGCCGAUGAAGGACGGGACGAACACCGAUAUGCUUCGGGGAGCUGUAAGCAAGCUUUGAUCCGGAGAUUUCCGAAUGGGGAAACCCACUGCUCGUAAUGGAGUAGUAUCCAUACUUGAAUACAUAGAGUAUGAGAAGGCAUACCCGGGGAACUGAAACAUCUAAGUACCCGGAGGAAGAGAAAGCAAAUGCGAUUCCCUGAGUAGCGGCGAGCGAAACGGGAACAGCCCAAACCAAGAGGCUUGCCUCUUGGGGUUGUAGGACACUCUAUACGGAGUUACAAAGGAACGAUAUAAGCGAAGAGGUCUGGAAAGGCCCGCCAAAGAAGGUAACAGCCCUGUAACUGAAAUGUUGUUCUCUCCAGAGUGGAUCCUGAGUACGGCGGAACACGUGAAAUUCCGUCGGAAUCCGGGAGGACCAUCUCCCAAGGCUAAAUACUCCCUAGUGACCGAUAGUGAACCAGUACCGUGAGGGAAAGGUGAAAAGCACCCCGGAAGGGGAGUGAAAUAGAUCCUGAAACCGUGUGCCUACAAGUAGUCAGAGCCCGUUAAAGGGUGAUGGCGUGCCUUUUGUAGAAUGAACCGGCGAGUUACGAUCCCGUGCAAGGUUAAGCAGAAGAUGCGGAGCCGCAGCGAAAGCGAGUCUGAAUAGGGCGCAUGAGUACGUGGUCGUAGACCCGAAACCAGGUGAUCUACCCAUGUCCAGGGUGAAGUUCAGGUAACACUGAAUGGAGGCCCGAACCCACGCACGUUGAAAAGUGCGGGGAUGAGGUGUGGGUAGGGGUGAAAUGCCAAUCGAACCUGGAGAUAGCUGGUUCUCUCCGAAAUAGCUUUAGGGCUAGCCUCAAGGUAAGAGUCUCGGAGGUAGAGCACUGAUUGGACUAGGGGCCCCUACCGGGUUACCGAAUUCAGUCAAACUCCGAAUGCCGAUGACUUAUCCUUGGGAGUCAGACUGCGAGUGAUAAGAUCCGUAGUCGAAAGGGAAACAGCCCAGACCGCCAGCUAAGGUCCCAAAGUAUACGUUAAGUGGAAAAGGAUGUGGAGUUGCUUAGACAACCAGGAUGUUGGCUUAGAAGC